Gopherus flavomarginatus (Mexican gopher tortoise) is the source of this 3352-nucleotide long non-coding RNA. RefSeq lists it as uncharacterized. The transcript has 3 exons. NCBI's taxonomy places the organism in Eukaryota, Metazoa, Chordata, Testudines, Testudinidae. The record is from RefSeq and is a predicted model, not a curated record.
CAGGAAGGCAAAAUGUGCUGCUCUCAAGAAGGUGUACAAUAGCUCUGAAGCACUUAUAGCCUCAUAGUUGAUACUGCAGAACACCAGAAGUCAAUUUUUUCCAGCAUGAAAACUGUUAGCCUCAGUGAACAAAAUGAAAAAUGUUUUGGAGCAAACAUUAAAGAAUCAAUUUGUAAGCUCCUAGAAGGGUAACAGCCUUCUGGAUAGUGGAACGCUGGAAAUAAAGUGUCACUAAAAAUCAGCUUGCGUGCCAUAGGUUGCUGACCCCAGCCUAGACAAUUCUUCUAUAAAGUGGGUGCACAAAUGGUUUGAAAACCAUACUCAUAAUCGGUGUCAAUGAUUCACAGACAAGCUGAAAGGGCAUAUCAAGUGGGCUCCCACAAGAAUCUCUCAGGGAUUCGGUUCUAUUCAAUAUCUUCAUAAAUGAUUUGGAUAAUGGCUGAAAGACUACACUUAUAGAGUUUGCAGAUGAUACCAAGCUGAGGGGGGUCGUAAGUGCUUUGGAGGAUGGGAUUUGAAUUCAAACCGAUCUUGGCAAACUGGAGAAAUGGUCUGAAUUAAAUAGAAUGAAAUUCAGUAAGGACAAAUGCAAAGUAGUGCACUGAGGAAGGAAUAAUCAAUUGCACGAAUAUAAAAUGGGAAAUGACUGCCCAAGAGAGAGUACUGCAGAAAAGGAUCUGUGGGUUAUAACAGAUCACAAACUAAAUAUGACUCAACAAUGUAAUGUGCAAAAAGCAAACAUCAUACUGGAAUGUAUUAGCAAGAUAGUUGUAAGCAAGACACAAAAAGUAAUUCUUCCACUCAGCACUGCUAGGGCCUCAACUGGAGUAUUGUGUCCAGUUCUGGGCACCACAUUUCUGGAAAUAUGUGGACAAAUUGGAGAAAGUUCAUAGGGAAGCAAUAAAAAUGACUAAAUGGCCUAUGAGAAAAGAUUGAAAAAAUUGGGUUUGUUUAGUCUGGAGAAGAGAAGACAGAAUGGGGACACCAUAACAGUCUUCAAGUAUGUAAAAGAAUGUUAUAAAGAUGAGGGUAGUAAAUUAUUCUCAUUAUCCAUGGAGGACAGGACAAGAAGCAUGGGCUUAAGUUGCAGCAAGGGAGAUUUAGGUUAGACAUUGGGGCAGACUUCCUAACUGUAAGAGUAUUUAAGCACUGGAGCAAAUUUCCUAGGGAGGUUGUGGAAUCUCUGUCAUUGGAGGUUUUUAAGAGCAGAUGAGACAAACAGCUGUCCGGGAUGGUCUACAUAAUAUUUAGUCCUGCCUCAGUGCAGGAGACUGGACUAGAUGACCUAUCAAGAUCCCUUCUACAUUUCUAGUCCUACAUUUCUAUGAUUCUGUGGCAAGCCUCAAGAUCCUAUUUAAACAAUGAUAAUUAAAUUGAAGUAAUAGGGAUAUGACCGUUUCUGUUAGAAAUGGAUGUACUUGACUACAUGUAUAUAAUUAUUCUAAAUAUCUGAUCACGACUUUCAUGAGUAGGCACAUACUAACAGAGGGUGAAUCUUUGUCCCUAUCUAUAGUUGACCUAUAUUCAUAAAUACCCAAGAUCUAGUGAAAACUGUCACAGUGGCAAUAGUAGUACAGCUCCUUUCUUCUCUGGGAUAGAGGGCUUGAAAGCACAGAGUGGGAAUAUGCAAGGCAAUUGACAGCAUUAAUUAAUGUGGAUGUUACCUGAAGAAUUUGCCAGAGAAUGAUGUCCCAGAGAAUGGCUUUCCUCUGGCUACAUACUCUGUUCCCAGCCCCAAGCUGCUUGUCUUAGCCUCAGCUAUACAAUGCUUCCAUAACUUGAAGGUAUGGUGCUACUUAGGAUUCUUUUCUUUUCUUAUAGGCUUACUGUACUUUUUUUUUUUACCAGUAUUUCCAUGCCUUUCAUUCUUCAGGAUCUAAAAGUAGUGGAGAAGAUAUGGCCCUAAGUAUACAUCUGUGCACUAGUCAGGCUAAUGAUUGUAGUACACCAUAGUAUACGCUGUGUAUCAAUUUGAAAGGAGAUAAUUUUAUAUGCCUCUUGAAUUUGCAUUUCAAACCUGUCUCCUUCAUAGUACCUGCUGGUUUUGACUGACAUUAAAUGAUCUCAUACAUUUUAAUCCAGAAUAAAGACUGCAGUACAAAUUCAUUAACCAGUUUUCCAAAUGGGAUCACCAAUAGUUAAAGGGAAAUUAUUCAUAUUCAGGUCUUGGACAUGGAAAAACUUCUAAUUCUAGCAAUGCUUCUCCAUAAAAAGGCACCAAUUGUCUUUUAUCAGUUGUAAUUGAGGAGGUGUUUCUAAUUCAGUUACUACUGCUCUUAUGUAAUAUAAUAUUAUUUUUAAUUAAUUCUUCCUAGAUUAAAUUCUGAUCACUAAUACCUGUGUAGAUCCAGUGCAAUGCCGUUGAUUUUAGUGGAGUUAUGAGAUUUGCACCGGCGUAAUGUACUGUCAGAAUCUGGCCCUUAUCUAUUUUCUCUAGAUAAGUUACAGACCUGAUUCUCGGCUGUGUUCUGGCCCCUUUUAUGCUGCUCCUGUUGUGUAAUGAGGCUGGAAAGUGACUAGAUCCAUCCCAGGGAGGAAUUCUUCUCCAGAUGGUGGGUAAUACCUAUGCUGCCAUCAUCUCACCACCUCUGUUGGGUGUGUCAAAUAUGGCCUGGAGAGAGCAGUCCUGGGAAAAGAGGUGGAACUCUCUGCUUUGACUAUUCUGGUAGGGUGGCUGCUGAUGGGAGGCUGUUGAAAACCAGGGCGAGAGCAGUCCCAAGCAUUACUUUCACUAAUGGAGGGUGAUGAGGCAGACUCAGAAUCUGGGAUAAACAAAGGAGGCUUAAAACUUUCUCAGCCCAGUCUUCCCUCAGCCAGGGUUGUGACUCCUGAGCUCCACAGUCAGAAUGUGGGACCCGUAUUUUUCAUCAUUGUUCUUUAAGAAGGUCACAAUUCAGUAUCGCAUUGCAGCUGGCGAAGGAAAGGGACAUUCUUGAAAACAAGUCAAAAGUUAAAUUGGAAAACACUUGGACAAUACAGCGCUUUAGCGUCUUGCAGUCUGUAAAAGUCAGACUUUCUCCUUUACAAUAAAAUGAUUGGAGUGAGCAAACUGCUAAUCCCCCUGUUGAAAGUUACAUCCUAACCAAUCUGUCUUGAUUGUCCACAGUGAGAUGUAGAUCUUUGAUAGCUUAGAUGGAAGGGCUACGGCAUUAAUGUAUUUGCAGGUGAUAGGAUUGUUUUAAUGGACAUUCUCAGUGGAAUCUCAGCAGUCCCAGACAGCUUUUUGGUUGAGACAGUCAGGUACACAAAAGGGAUAAAAGCGUCCAUACAGCCGGCAAUUGUUAACAAUUAACAGCAGCUUUCAUGUAUUGUGAGUGGCAUUAUUCUCUAUGGAUGGGAUGAUUUCAGCAUA